This 46-nucleotide non-coding RNA is filed under the name Pseudomonas alkylphenolica. RNAcentral describes it as "Guanidine-II sequence". It matches the Rfam family "Guanidine-II riboswitch aptamer (mini-ykkC)". Rfam says of the family: Simpler in structure and has fewer highly conserved nucleotide positions than the ykkC-yxkD leader. Despite this each of its two stem-loop structures directly bind free guanidine. The record is from RNAcentral. Lineage: Bacteria; Pseudomonadati; Pseudomonadota; Gammaproteobacteria; Pseudomonadales; Pseudomonadaceae.
ACCUGAGGACGACCUCAGGCUCGAAUACCGAUCGGGGACGGCCCUG